Marmota flaviventris (yellow-bellied marmot) is the source of this 1120-nucleotide non-coding RNA. The record is from RefSeq and is a predicted model, not a curated record. NCBI's taxonomy places the organism in Eukaryota, Metazoa, Chordata, Mammalia, Rodentia, Sciuridae.
UUUUCUCAUCCUCGAGAAACGAAACUCAAUAGAGAAAGUCCAGGGAGCAGAACAUGGAGGGAGACUUCCAAGUGUGCGGGAACUGCAGAAGAAGUGUGGCCUCUGCCCACUUCACCCUCCACGAGGCCCACUGCCUGCGGUUCCUGGUCCUUUGCCCAGAGUGUGAGGAGCCCAUCCCACAGUCGAAGAUGAAGGAGCAUUUUGAAAAUGAGCACCAGCAGACCGAGGAACGCCAGCAAGACUCCAUCAAGUGCAAGUUCUGUGAGCUGACGGGGUCCCUGAAGGAGCUGCAGAUCCACGAGUCCCGCUGUGACAAGCAGACAGAGUGCUGCCUACACUGUGGCCAGUUCAUCAGGCUUCAAGUGCUAGCCCAGCACCAAGAAGUCUGUCCGGGUAGACAGGCUCAGCUUGGAAAAGAGAAGAGAAUUUCAGCUCCUGAAAGGAAGAUCCACCGUGUUUAUUGUAACCAAAAGUAUUCAGAAAAUGAGUACAUCCUCCAUAGGGGUAAGUGUUAUUCAGUCUCAGAGUCUGGGAAACAUCAUCCAUCUGGAAAGCCAAAAAUUCUUCCUCUGUCCCUUCCAAGUGAGCCUGCUGGAAAUCAAACAUCCACCGCUGAGAGAGAUGUUCGUCCAAAGACAAAAUAUAGAAACAAAUUUCCUCGUUUUUCUGAAAAUUCAACACAGAAAGCACAGAGAAACAAAAACAGAACCAUGAACCUGCCUUUGAAGGCUGAGCACAAGCCAAAGACUGCCUUUCUUACAGAAGAUGAGGCAGCCUAUGACAUUUUAAGGAGAUGUUCUCAGUGUGGUAUCCUACUUCCCCUUCCCACCCUAUGUCAACAUCAGGUGGCUGGAGGCAGGAGCUAGGAGGAGCCAUCUCUGAGCUGAGCAAAAAAGGAGAAAUGCCUGCGGUUAGCUUCAUGGAAAGGAAAACAAGUGAGAAAGUCCAGCUAGAUUUGGAAAAGAGACAUAGGUUUACCCAAGGGAUACAAAUGACCAAGAAGAAAAAGGAUUCCAGUUCUUCUGGCUGAGCAUUCUGAUUAGUCAUCUGGACUCAACAGCUGGCCCAUGUCUAAGAGACCUCAGCUUUGCCCUGAAGAAUAAAAAUGUCCUUCCUGGAA